AGGAGAGGGAGGAGAGUGAUGGACGCUGCGCAGAACGGAGGGAGGGAGGAGUAGGAGACGGGAAUGCAUAAUACGUGAGUGACAGAGGGUGUGCAGGCGGCUGGCAGAGUCCAGAAGACGCGGAUGUUCAUACCCCAGGGUCCAGGGAUGCCCUCUGCUUCUUUAUUAGUUUAUUUGCUUUUAGCAUUAUUCAUUCAUUUCACAUCUGGAGAAACAGAAGUGAAGUUCAGUGGACAAACAGAAUUUGUAGUCAAUGAAACAAGUACAACUGUUAUACGUCUUGUGAUUGAAAGGACAGGGAAGCCUGCUAACAUCACAGCAGUUGUGUCGAUUUAUGGAGAAAAUACAGGAGACUUUUUUGACACAUAUGCAGCUGCAUUUAUACCUGAUACGGAAACAAACCGAACAGUAUAUAUAUCUGUCUGUGAUGAUGAUCUUCCAGAGGCUGAUGAGACAUUCACAUUUCACUUGACACUACUGAAACCAUCUGCAAGGAUAAAGCUUGGCUCACCCAAAUCUGUCACUGUAACAAUCUUAUCAAAUGACAAUGCCUUUGGAAUAAUUUCUUUUAACAUGUCUGCCUUAAUCACAGUGAAUGAGCCUAGGGGCAGAAAUGAAUUUGUGCCUCUCACUCUAAUUAGGGAGAGAGGAACCUACGGGAUGGUCAUUGUAACUUUUGAGAUAGAAGAUGGACCAAACUCAGCUGAAGAAGACUUAAGUCCAGCCAGAGGAAAUAUUACAUUUACCCCUGGGAGAUCAGUGUUGAUUUAUAAUUUAACAGUGCUUGAUGAUCAGGUACCGGAAAAUGAUGAAAUCUUUGUUGUUUGUCUGAAGAGUGUGGAGGGAGGGGCUGAAAUAAACAACACAAAAAAUUCUGUUUGGAUUAAUAUUAAGAAAAAUGACAGUCCCGUGCGUUUUGUUCAAAAUGCUUAUAUGGUGCCUGAGGAAGAUGAAGUGGUAACAAUCCAAGUGGUUCGUGGUAAGGAUGUCAGUGGAAAAUUAAUUGGACCUGAUGAAGACGAAGUCUCUGUCAAUUACGCCAUCAUAACUGGGGAUUCAACUGCACAUGCACAGCUUAACGUAGACUUCCUAGAUCUACAGCCAAAUACAACUCUUGUUUUCCCACCUCUAGUUCAUGAAACCUAUUUGAAAUUUAAGAUCCUUGAUGAUGCCAUACCAGAAAUUGCUGAGACCUUUCAGAUUAUGCUUCUUAAAGAAACUUUGCAGGGAGAUGCUGUUUUGAUUUAUCCAUCUGUUGUUCAUGUCACUAUCCAGCCGAAUGAUAAACCCUAUGGAGUGCUGUCAAUCCACAGUGUUCUGUUAGCUCACACUGUUAUCAUUGAUGAAGACAAAAUUUCAAGGUUUGAAGGGAUCACAGUUGUAAGAAAUGGUGGAACACAUGGAAAUGUUUCUGUUUCCUGGGUUAUAAUCCGAAAUAACAGUGAUCCCUCACCUGUGACUGCAGACCUCCUUCCAGAGGCAGGGGAGAUAAGUUUUGAUCAAGGACAGAUGCUGGAGACACUUCAUCUGAACGUUAUUGAUGAUGAUAUACCAGAAGAGGCAGAGCCUUAUCUUCUGAAACUCCUAGCUCAUACAAUACAGGGAGGUGCCGAAGUCAGUGAGCCAUCUGAGCUUCUGUUUUACAUUCAGGACAGUGAUGAUGUUUAUGGCCUAAUAAAAUUCCAUCCUUUGGAGAAUCAGAAGAUUGAAAGUAAUCCAAUGGGACGCUUUUUAUCCUUGAGUUUUGCAAGGGAAAGAGGAACAGUUGGAGAUGUGCAGUUGUUUUAUACCUCACUGUAUAUUCCAGCUGGAGCUCUGGAUCCUGAGAGAGCGAAAGGUGGCAUUCUAAAUAUGUCUAGAAGAAGUACUUUCAUCUUUCCAGAAGGAAAAGCACAAGCUACUAUAAAUAUACCAAUACGAAAUGAUGCAUUUCUUCAAAAUGGAGCUCAUUUUGUCAUACAGUUGGAAAAAGUUGAGCUGCUGAAUAGAAUUCCUCUUGUCCCACCUGUGAGUCCUAGACUAGGCGAGAUUCGAAAUAUUUCUUUAAGGAUUACUCCAGAUAUUGCAAAUGGAGAAAUAGGCUUUACUAGCAAUCUUCCAAUUAUUCUUUCCGAGCCAGAAGAGUUGCCUGCUACAGUGGUUUCCAUUGCAUUGCAUCGAGAUGGGACUGAUGGUCAAGCAACAGUGUUUUGGAGUUUGAAACCCUCUGGUCCUAAUCACAAGGCAAUAACACAGGAUGAUAUAAGUCCUUUUAAUGGCUCUAUUGUUUUUUUAUCUGGACAAAGUGAUACUACAAUCAACAUUACGAUUAAAGCUGAUGAUAUACCUGAAAUGAAUGAAACCGUAUUAUUAACUUUGGACAGGGUAGAGACAGAAAGGUUUGUCGUGUACUUUGGGGUCAGUGUGGAAAAUCAAAUACUGAAAUACGGGUUUACUACUUGUGAAAUUACUAUUUUGGAAAAUGAUGAUCCUGGAGGAGUGUUUGAAUUUUCUCCCUCUUCCAGAGGUCCCUACAGUAUCAAGGAAGGGGAUUCUGUUGAACUGCAGAUUGUCCGCAGCAGAGGGACCCUUCUCAGGCAGUUUCUGCGAUACACUGUAGAACCAAGGAACGAUAAUGAGUUUUAUGGAAGCACAGGAAUUCUGGAAUUUAAGCCUGGGGAAAGAGAGAUUAUAAUUACUCUUUUGACAAGGAUGGAUGGGAUUCCAGAGCUGGAUGAGGCAUAUGCUGUUGUACUCAGUGGCUACAGUGAAAUGUCAGGCAAGCUGGGGAAUGCCACAAGGGUCAAUAUAAUGAUUUUGAAGAAUGAUGAUCCACAUGGUGUCAUUCAGUUUCUACUUGAUGAAUUAUCAGUAACAAUAAAGGAAAGUAAAGGAGAAAUCAUCUAUGCUGCCUCUUACAGAGUUGUAAGAAACCAAGGAAACUAUGGCAAUGUUAGCGUGUCCUGGAUUGUUGACCCAGCAUGUACCAAUGACAUCUAUCCAGAACAAGGGACUAUUUUCUUUGAUAAUCUGGAGUUCUCAAAAAAUAUCACCAUUUACUCUCUACCAGAUGAGGUACCUGAAGAGAUGGAGGUAUUCAUAAUCAGAUUAUUCAAUGCCACUGGUGGAGCCAGACUGGGCAAUAUAACCAGUGCAUUUUUACAAAUUACAAGGAAUGAUGAUCCCAUUUAUUUUGCAGAACCUCUGACAGUGAGCAUUACAGAAGGGAGUGUAGCAAACUUUACAGUCCUAAGGAAUGGAUCUGCUGAUGCUGUUGUUGCUGUUCAGUAUAUUACUGUCAAUGGAGAUGCAACAGCUGAAGAGGGAGACUUUGUUCCCAGUGGAAAGAACAGUGUCAUUCUGUUUGGUGUUGGAGAAAGAGAGCAGAACUUAUCUGUGUAUAUUAAUGAUGAUGAUACCCCUGAAACUGAUGAAACAUUUUAUAUCUUCCUUUUGAAUUCAACAGGGGAUACUGUUAUCUUUAAUGCUGGAGUGGCGACAGUUAUUAUUGAAGCAAAUGAUGAUCCUAAUGGAAUUUUCUCCUUAGAAUCUCUAGAGAAGCCAGUGGAAGAAGGAAAAAGUAAUAGUUUUUUGAUUUUGAGACAUAGAGGACACUUUGGGAAUGUCUCAUUAACCUGGCAGCUGUUUCAUAAUGGCUCUACACUGAAGCCAGGAGAAGAGUUCUAUGAAACUUGUGGGACCGUGUACUUCAUGGACGGUGAAGGAUCAAAGCCGAUAGUGCUCCAUGCUCUUUCAGAUAAAAUUCCCGAAUUCAAUGAAUUUUACAGUUUAAAGUUGGUGAAUGUUUCAGGUGGGUCUCCUGGUCCUGGUGGGCAGUUGUCUGAAACAAGUCUUGCUGUAACCGUGAUGAUCCCUUCCAAUGAUGACCCUUUUGGAGUCUUCGUUUUAGAUCCAGAGAGUCAGGACAGAGAGAUAGUAGAAGAUAUUCUUUCUGAAGAUGAUCUUUCCUGUAUUACAGACUUCACCAUCUGGAGAAAACAAGGCACUUUUGGGGUUGUCCGUUUAGGUUGGGAAAUACUGUCCAGUACGUUUCAAGCUGGAUUACCAUCAAUGGUAGACUACUUGUUGCUGGGAUCAUUUCCAAGUUCAGUACAAUCCCAGCCGCACAUGAGACGCCAUCACAGUGGAACAGAUGCUUUGUAUUUCAGUGGAAAAGAGGAUGCAUUUGGAAUUAUUGGUCUGGAAUACCCAUACAAUGGAAAUACUGCAGUAAAUAAUUUUACAUUUUCAGCAUGGUUAAUUCCUAAUGUCAAUACUGAUGGUUAUAUAGUUGAAAAGGAUGAUGGUAAUGGGACCUUAUAUUAUGGCGUGAAAAUCCAAACAAAUGAUUCUCAUGUUUCUGUAGUGCUUCAUUAUACAGCAUUAGGAUCCAAUAUGACAUACAUAGCCAAAGCAGCAAUCCUAAAAUACCUGGAUGAAAGUACUUGGAUUCAUGUUCUGAUUACUCUGGAUGAAAGUAUAAUUGAAUUUUACAUGGAUGGAAUUUCAGUUCCAGGAGGAAUUAAGAGCCUUAAAGGAGAAGCAAUUGCUGAUGGUCCAGGAAUAGUGAGAAUUGGAGCAGGAAUCAAUGGAAACAGCAGGUACAUGGGUCUAAUGCAGGAUGUAAGGCUUUAUGAGAGAAAACUGACACAAGCAGAGAUCUAUGAACUCCAUGCAGCUCCUGCAAAGAGUGACGUACACCCUGUCUCUGGGUAUUUGGAGUAUCGGCAGGGAGAAACCAAUAAAUCAUUCAUUGUGUCUGCAAAGGAUGACAAAGAGGAAGAAGGAGAGGAGUUAUUCAUCCUAAAGCUCAUUUCUGUGUGUGGUGGAGCUCGAAUUUCACAAGAAAACACAACAGCAAGGUUAAGAAUACAGAAAAGUGAUAAUGCUAAUGGUUUAUUUGGUUUCACUGGAGCAUGUAUUCCUGAGACUGCUGAUGAGGGUUCCACUAUAUCCUGUGUCGUGGAGCGUACAAGGGGAGCCCUAGACUAUGUGUAUAUAAAUUACAUUAUCUCACAGGUUGAUUCCAGUGGCAUAAAUUACUCUAUUAGCGAUUUUUCUAACAGCAGUGGCACUAUCACAUUCCUUCCUUGGCAGAGAUCUAAGGUCUUAAACUUGCAUGUUAUUGAUGACGACAUUCCAGAGCUAAAUGAGUAUUUCCGUGUGACAUUAGUCUCUGCAGUAUCUGGAGAUGGAAAACUAGGUUCAACUCCUACCAGUGGAGCAAGUAUAGAUCCAGAAAAGGAAACUACUGAUAUCAGCAUUAAAGCCAGUGAUCACCCAUAUGGUCUACUGCAGUUUUCAGUGGGGCCACCUCCUCAACCCAGUGAUGAAAUGAUUCUGCCAGCCUCUUCUGUGCCCCAUAUCACUGUUAAAGAAGAAGUUGGACACAUUAGAUUAUUGGUAGUUCGUGCACAAGGGCUUCUUGGAACAGUUAUUAUGGAAUACAGGACAGUGCCACUUACAGCUUUCAGUCCUAAGGAUUAUCAGGCUGUUGGGGGCUCAAUGGAAUUUCAGCCUGGAGAAAGAUACAAGUACAUUACUGUUAACAUCACUGACAAUUCUAUUCCUGAACUAGAAAAAACUUUUAAAGUGGAGCUGUUGAACCCAGAGGGAGGAGUUGCUGAGCUCUUUAGAAAUGAUGGAAGUGGUAGUGGUGAUGGAAACAUGGAUUUAUUCCUUUCAAGUGUCCCUCAACAUGCUAGCUUGGGAAUUGCAUCCCACAUCCUUGUGACUAUUGAGGCUUCUGAUGAUGCUCAUGGUGUGUUUGAGUUCAGUGCUGAGUCCCUCUUGGUGAAUGGAACUGAGCCCGAAGAUGGAGAUAGCAAUGUUGUGCUGCAGGUUGUGAGAACUCACGGAGCCUUAUCUCAGGUGACAUUGUAUUGGAUCAUAAUCUGCGAUUUUACCAAUGACCUGAUCUCUACAGAUGGGAGUGUAACAUUUGAUGUUGGCCAAGCAAGAACAAAUAUUACAAUACAGGUUUCUCCUGAUGAUGUUCCCGAAUUGGAUAAGAUAUUUUCAGUUUUGAUCAUCAAUGUCUCCCAUGGUCGUCUUGGUUAUCAUACUAAUGCAACGUUAACUAUUUUAGCAAAUGAUGAUCCAUACGGAGUCUUCAUCUUUUCUGAGCAAAACAGACCAAUAAAAGUUGACGAAGAAACAAAAAAUGUCUCUCUGACAGUUAUAAGAUGUGGUGGUCUCCUUGGUACAGUAAUGGUGAAAUACAGAACUAUUGGUGAUGAGGAAAAGUCGCCCUUUCUUCCACAUGAUGUUGUCAGAGCAAUAGAGGGAAAAGACUAUAUACCCAUUACAGGUUAUGUGAUCUUCUCAACCAAUGAAAGUGAGGCCACAAUAUCCUUGCCUAUUUUGGAUGAUGAUGAUCCAGAGAGGUCAGAAUCUGUUUUUGUUGAGCUAAGCAGUAUUGCUUUGAUCAAGAAAGUUCAGGAUCGGCCAAUUAUAAAUUCUCCUCGACUUGGCUUAGUGGGUGAGACAAUAGCUCAUGUGAUUAUCAAUGCCAAUGAUGAUGCUUUUGGAACACUUCAGCUUUCAGCUUCAGCUGUGCGUGUUGCUGAAAAUUAUGUUGGACCAAUCAUUAAUGUGACCAGAACUGGGGGAAUAUUUUCAGAUGUUUCUGUGAAAUUUAAAGCUAUGCCAAUAACUGCAACAGCUGGUGAGGACUACAGUGUAGCUUCAUCAGAUGUUGUCUUACUAGAAGGGGAAACAAGUAAAGCUGUGCCAAUUUAUAUAAUUAAUGACAUCAAUCCUGAAGUUGAGGAGUCAUUCUAUGUUCAGCUGCUGAACCAAACAACAGGAGGAGCCUUACUUGGAUCUUUGACGAGGGCAAUCAUAACUAUUGAGGCUUCUGAUGACCCAUUUGGAUCCUUUGUUUUUCAGAAUACUGAAUUCACUGUGGAGGAGCCUGAAUUUGGAUCAGUAACCAUAAAUCUGCCAAUAAUCCGCAAUGCUGGGACACUGGGUAAUGUUACUGUUCAGUGGGCAGCUACCAUUAAUGGACAUCCUGCUGCUGAUGACUUGCAAGUUGCCAUGGGUAAUAUUACUUUUGCCGCUGGGGAAGCUAUUCAGAUGUUGCUGUUGGAAAUCCUGGCUGAUGAUGUUCCAGAAGUAGAAGAAAUUGUCCAUGUAGAAUUAACUCAGGCCUCCAACGGUGGUGCUAUCGGCUUAGAUAGCAUGGCAAAUAUUGUUAUACCUGCCAAUGAUAAUCCUUAUGGCGCAGUUUUCUUUCAUCAAUCCUCAUACCGAAUUCAGGAGCCACUAGAAAGAAAUUUACUUGCAAAUAUAUCAGUCAGGAGAAGUGGGGGAAGGUUCGGUCAGCUGCAAAUAUUUUACAGCACUUCUGAGAUUGACAUCGUAGCUCUUGCCAUUGAGCAAGGUGAGGAUAUACUGGCCUAUUAUGAGUCUCCUGUACAAGGAGUUCCUGACCAGCCAUCCAAGACCAGAGUGAAUGUGUCAGCAGCAAGUGAUCCACUGCAUGCCUGUGCAACUCAGUGCCUAAAAGAAAAAGCAUGUUCAGCCUUUAUAUUUUCCAGUGCCUCUGAGAUUCCACUCUGCCUUUGGCUGACAACAGAGAUCAGCCUAUUAACUAAUAUGUCAGGAUUGUGGACCUACAAGAAAAACAUCAGCAGUACAUCUACUCUGUUUAGCACACAAGCCAUUGCUGGAAGUGACUAUGAAUCUAUCACAAGACAGUGGGCCAUCAUGCAGGAAGGGGAAGAGUUUGCAAAUCUCACAGUUACCAUACUCCCUGACAGCCUGCCAGAGCUGGAUGAAAAAUUCACUAUAUCCCUGUUGAAGGUUGAACUAAUGAAUAUCUCAGCCAACUUAAAAAAUCAACCAACUAUCGGACAGCCAAAUACUUCCACAGUUAUCAUAAUGAUGAAUGGGGAUGCCUUUGGAGUAUUUAAGAUCUACAGUGUAAGUCCCAAUGCAACAGAGAAAGGUCUGUAUAUUGAAGUAGAAGAACGCCCUCAGGCCAAUGUGCAGCUAAUGAUACAUAGGACAGAAGGCAGCCUGGGACAGGUGGCAGUGGAAUGGUGUGUUGUUGGUGGAACUGCUACCCCAGACUUGGAUUUUGUCGGAGUUGGUGAGAUUCUGGUGUUUGCUGAAGGUGAAACUAAAAAGAUGGUCACACUGACCAUUUUAGAUGAUCCAGAGCCAGAGGAUAAUGAAAGCAUCAUAAUCAGCCUGGUGCAUACUGAAGGAGGGAGUAGGAUUCUGCCCAGUUUCGACACUGUCACAGUGGUUAUCCUGGCAAGUGACAAUGUGGCAGGAAUCGUUAGCUUCCAGACAGAUGGAAGGUCUGUUAUUGGUUGUGAAGGAGAACAAUUGCAAUUCCAUAUUGUAAGAACGGCCCCAGGACUGGGAAACGUUACUGUUGAGUGGAAGAUAGUUGGACAUAACGUACAACAAAAUUUUGAAUACUAUUCUGGAAUACUCUUUUUUCCUGAGGGGAUAUUGAAUACAACAUUGUAUGUUCACUUGCUGGAUGACCAUAUUCCAGAAGAAAAAGAAGUAUACCGGAUCAUCCUAUACAACAUCAAAACAGAAGGUGUUUCUCCUUCUGGUGCUGCUGUUUUGGACAGUCAAGGAUAUGAAGCUGUUCUGACAGUAGAAGCUAGUGAUGAACCACAUGGAGUACUGAAUUUUGCUUCUCCAUCCAGGGUAGUUUUACUUCCAGAGGAAAACAAAACAGUUCAGCUUUUUAUUAACAGAGAAUUUGGAUCUCUAGGUGCUAUCAAUAUUACAUAUGCCACAGUUCAAGGAUUGGUCUCCUUAAGUAAUCAGACAGAGGGGACCUUGGCUGAACCAGGAGCUGAUUAUGUAGCUGUUUCUGACUCAGUGAUUUUGGAAGAAGGAGAAACAUCAGCUGCCAUAAAUGUAACUAUUCUAGAGGAUGAUGUACCAGAAGUGCAAGAAUUCUUCUUGGUUAAUUUAACUUCAGUGGAACUUAUCAUGAACCAUUCAACUUCUUCCCUACCUAGGCUGGUGACAGAGUUAAUUCGUUACAGACUGAAAGAUGUGGAAGGUUUAGCUUCUCAAAUUAUUAUUGAUGCUAAUGAUGGAGUAAGUGGAGUAGUUGAAUGGGAAAGUACCAAUUUUGAAGUUAAUGAAUCUCAUGGGAAUCUGACAAUAAUGGCAUACCGAAACAAAGGAUCUUAUGGCAAUGUAUCUGUAUUUUUUUAUGCCCAAAAUUUGGAGGCACAGCUGGGUUUGGAUUUUAAUGUGAUCUCAAGGACUCUUUUUUUUGCUGAUGGAGAAAGGAAUAAAUCUGUUGUUGUUGUGAUUUGUGAUGAUGAUAUUCCUGAAGGUGUUGAGAAGUUCCAGUUAAUUCUAACAAAUCCCUCAUUUGGCCUGGAAUUAGGGGAGAACUCAACAGCCACAAUUACUAUAUUUGCCAAUGAUGAUGGACAUGGAGUUUUGUCAUUCAGUAACAGUGAUCACUUCUUCCUAAAAGAGCAAACAGCUCUCCAUCUGAUGGAAAGUGUUGCAGUAUUAAAUAUUAUUAGAGAACCUCCUCAGGGAAUAUUUGGAAUGGUGUCUGUUCAAUAUCUUGUAAGUGAAAUUAAUUCUUCAGAGCCAUCAGUGGAUUUGACCCCUUCUCAAGGAUACAUUGUGCUGGAAGAGGGAGUCAGAUUUAAGACACUGCAUAUUUCUGCAAUCCUGGAUGAAGAACCAGAAAUGGAUGAGCACUUUAUUGUCACCCUGUUCAAUCCAACUGGAGGAGCCAGACUAGGCACCAGAGUGCAAACUAUGAUUACAAUACUGCAGAACCAGGCUCCACUGGGGCUUUUCAGCAUCUACCCAGUUACAAAUAGGACAAAUAUCUUCACAGUUGAAGAGGCGAACACUACAGUUUAUUUGAAAGUUUCACGGAGUAAUGGGCUCAACGUGACUGUGAGUGUUGAGUGGGAGACAUUGUCGGAUACUGCAUUUGGCAUCAGGGGUAGUAUCAGUGUCCUGUCUGUCUUGCAAAGCUUUGUGGAAGAGUCAGCAGCUAGCUGGUGUUUCUUUCGAUCAGCAGAAAUACUGUAUGGUGUGCUAUUGCGUUCACCUCCAGCUGUGUUUUCUACUCUCUACCAGUGGAAAGGAGUUUUUGUUGCCAUUGAGAAUUUCAGUAUGUGGGAUCCUAAAAGCUGUGUGUCUUUCCAAAUCCAUGCUUCUCCCUACCUUGUGAUUACUCAUGGAGGAACCAGGCAGGGAGCUUCCAACAGCAGUAUAUAUGCAUUCAUGCCUGGACGCAAACUGUUGAAGCUACAGACCCUCUCUAUUUUGGAUACCAGACUUGUCAAGCAUUUUGCUGUGAAUGAAGAGGACUAUUUGGUUUUUGUGAGUGACACCACUAGUUUCAGUUCCAUCCAGAUUUUCCAGUGGAAUAAAGAUACAUUUGUGCUGCAUCAUCAACUUCCACUUUACAGAGCUCUGAACAUUGCCUUGUUUUCCCGAGGAGGCAUGAUGUACUUACUAGUUGCUUUGUCAAAUACCAGCCAGAAUGUGCUCUUGUACCAAUGGCUGAAUAAUGAGUUUAGGAAUCUUCAUCAGUUACCAGCAAAAGAAAUAACACAUAUGGAGGCCUGGACUUCUGGGUCUGAUAUAUAUUUAAUUGUUGCAAAAGAAACUGGAAAUUCUGAAAUUUUCAUCUGGGAGACAGGGCAGUCUACCUUCAGACACUUUCAGUCUCUUCCAGUUUCUGCUGUAAGAAACAUCCAUGUUUUCAUGCCUACUUCAGGUUUAGUUCACAUCAUCCUCUCUGGUAAGGACACAACAGCACUCUACUCCUGGAACUCAGAAGGGAACCAGUUCUCUCUGAUGCUGGAAGCCCCAUAUGCAGAUCAUAUCACUUCUGCUACUGCAAGGUCUCUGAACACCAGCAAGAGCUUGAUUGCUCUUUCCGUAGAGUCCAGCUCCCAGAUUUAUGAGCUGACCACUAUCUCUAACCAGUCAGAUUUUAUACCUAGUUCAGGUGAAUUGAUAUUUGAGCCUGGGGACAUGGAAGCUGUGAUAGCAGUCAAUAUCCUGGAUGACAUCAUCCCAGAAGAGGAAGAAUGUUUUAAAGUGUGGCUGAAAAACCCCAAAGGAGGUGCAGAGAUUGGUGUUCACAGUUUUGUUAACAUAAUUAUUCCUUCCAACGACAAUGCCUAUGGAGUCAUUGCAUUUGCUCAGAGUUCUUUAUUUAAGCAAGUUGAAGAAGUGGAACAGGACAGCUUGAUCACCCUGAAUAUUGAACGUUUAAUAGGAACAUAUGGACGAGUUACAGUAGAAUGGAUCGCUAAUGGGAGCAUAAGUGAUAUAUUUCCAGCUUCAGGAAUGAUUACAUUUUCAGAAGGUCAGGCCCUGUCCACAAUCACCCUGACAAUUCUCGCGGACAGUGUUGCAGAACUUUCAGAGGUAGUGGAAAUCACACUCACCCAUGUUACCACUGUGGGUGUUCAAGAUACCACAAAAGGAGCUGUCAUUGAUCCUGAAAGGGCAAGAGCUGUACUUAGCAUUUUACCCAGUGACUCUCUACAUGGUGUGAUUGAGUGGCAUAUGGAGUCUCUCUUUGUUAAAAUCAGAGAACCAGAAGGGCAGCAGAAUUCAACUACUGUUACCCUACAAAUUGUUCGAGAACAAGGAUUUGUCGGGGAUCUUGCAGUUCAGUUGAGCACUGCACCGAACUUUGAACUCCCCCCCUCCAACCGAGCAACAGAGAAUGAGGAUUAUAUACUGGAAAAGAAAACAGUCAUUAUGGCAGAGAAUGCAACAACAAUUUCUGUCACAGUCACUAUUUUGCCUGACAACGUUCCAGAAUUACAGGAAGGAUUUAUAAUCAAUAUUACUGAUGUGCAGCUGAUCACUUCUUCCUCUGGAGGUCAACCAAGUGUGAAGAGGCUUGGAUUAGAAAUAGCUGAAAUAACAAUUGAAGAAAACGAUGAUGCCAGGGGAAUAUUUAAUUUUAAUGUUACAAAGGAUAUCACUGGAGCUGUUUCUGGUUAUGAAGUACCACCACCACAGAAUGUACUGAAACUCCCAGUUGUUCGACAGGGUGGGAGAUUUGGGUCAGCAGCUCUGUACUGGGAAGCCAUUCAUUCAACUGCCAGCUUUGAAGACUUCACACCAUCAUUUGGAAACCUUACAUUUGCAGAUGGGCAGGCUACAGGAGAAAUAGAAAUUACAAUCAUAGAUGACAAUGAAGUUGAAUUUCUUGAGAUAUUCAAAAUUGCCCUGGUGAGGGUAACAGGUGGUGCAAGACUUGGGAAUGACACCUUGGUAACUGUCGCUAUUCCACCAAAUGAUUCCCCUGUUGGGGUAUUCGGGUUUGAAGAAAAGAAAGUAACAGUGAAGGAACCUCAGACACUUGAUGACUCUGCUGCAGUUGUUUUGCUCAAUGUAAGUCGAAGUCAGGGAGGACAAGGAGCAGUUAAAGUGUUAUGGAUCCUCGACGAAGCAGCCAGAUAUAAUCUGACCCCUCUAAAUGGUACCCUUCAUUUCAAUGAGGCUGAGUCCCAGAAGCUGAUUGUUUUACACGUGAUACAAGAUGGUCUGCUGGAGGGGAAUGAAACAUUUACCAUUCACCUAGUCUCUACUGGUGAUGCAGAGAUAUCCCCUGUAAAUGGUGUUGCAACCAUCAUUAUCAUGGGAGAUGAAGGAGCUUCUGGGGUGGUUGGGAUUGCCCAUUCAUCCAAGCAUGUUUUGAUUGGAGAACCUUCAGGAAAUUAUAAUGGAACUGCUCUUAUUAGCCUGGUACGUGGCCCAGGGAUUUUUGGGGAGAUCAUAAUCUAUUGGAAUAUAACACCUCCUCAUCAGACAGAAUUUACUAAGGUAUCGGGAACUUUGACCAUGCGAGAUAGGCAGUCUGCAGCAGUUGUUCUAAUACAGGCUGUAGAUGACAACCGUCCCGAGGAGAAGCAUUACUACCAGUUUCAACUAACCAGAAUCAGUGAUGGAGGACUAAUAAAUGAAUCUAGCAGCACAGCAAAUAUUACCAUGGCCGCCAGUGAUUAUCCAUAUGGAGAGUUUGCAUUUGCCCGUGAACUAUUGCAAACAACAGAAGACGAAAUAUGGGUUAACAUCACUGUUGUGCGUUCCAGUGGAUCCUAUGGCAGAGUGCGUCUUUGGUUUCAGAUAAUAAAUGGGACUGCGGAGGAAGGAAUGGAUUUUACUCCCACAGUAAGGGAAAUGGUGUUUGAACCAGAGGAGGAAAGUAAAAUUAUAUUGAUUGAAAUUCAUGAUGAUGACUUUCCUGAAGGUCCUGAAUACUUUUCAUUGAUGAUUACUGAAGUGGAACUCCAAGGAAGUGGAUUUGAUUUUACUGUAAGAGAGAAUGGUCUACAGGUGGAUCAACCUCCAAUAAUAGGAAAUAUCUCCACAGUACGGGUCACUAUUGGAAAAAAUGACAAUGCUGAAGGUGUCAUAGAAUUUGAUCCAGAGUAUAUCCUUCUAGAGGUGGAAGAGGAUGCUGGAUUAAUCAUGAUUCCUGUUUUGAGAAAGCGUGGAACUUAUGGCAAUGUCACAGUUGAUUUUCUUUCUCGAAGUAUUUCUGCACUUCCUGAUGGUGUUGACUAUGUCAUCCAUAAUAAUUCUGUCAUUUUUUGUCAUGGACAGAACCAGUCUUUUAUUUAUAUCUCUAUUAUAGAUGAUGAAGAAAGUGAAUUUGCAGAGCAAUUUGAAAUCCAGCUGACAGGAGCCACUGGUGGAGCAGUCCUGGGGCUCCACCUGGUGAGCCAGGUCACCAUUGCAAAAAGUGACUCUCCCCAGGGCAUGGUCCGAUUUCUCAACCAAAGCCAAAUUAUUCUUCCCAACCCUGAUGCAACCACAACAGUGUCCCUGGUGCUGGAAAGGACUGGGCGGUUGGUGGAAGCACAGAUUAAUUGGGACAUUUUGGGACCCAAUUCAGAAGAGAUUUUGUCUCCCCUGAAUAGUGACAUUGGUGACCCUGUGAAUGGAUCAUUCUAUUUUGAAGAAGGAGAAGGAGGUCUGAGAACAAUUAAUCUACAAAUCUAUCCUCAUGAUGAAGUUGAAGUUCAGGAAACCUUCAUUAUUCGACUGAGCCUUAUGAAAGGUGAAACAGAAAUAGAUUCUAAGGCAAACAGCAUUACACUAAUAAUAGAGAAGUUUGGUGAUCCCAAUGGAAUUGUACAGUUUGCUCCUGAAUCAUUAACUGAGAUUAACUAUGCAGAACCCUCAGCAGACGAAGGGCCACAAAGUAUUACACUGUUUGUCAAACGAUUUCAAGGCAUUCUGGGGAAUGUAACGGUUUACUGGGAAAUAUGUAGUGAAUCUGACAUCACGGGUGACUUUCUUGAGACAGAGGGAUCUGUUGUGAUUGCUGAUCAGCAGAGUACAGCUGAGAUAAUUAUUUACCUGUUACCUGAUGAUGUUCCAGAACUGGAUGAAAACUAUGAGGUGAAGCUGAUUGCAGUGGAAGGUGGAGCAGAUUUAGACCAUGAGAAAGGCGUUUCAAAGAUCACAGUGUUAGCAAAUGAUGAUCCUUAUGGAGUGUUUGCCCUGUACUCUGAUCAGCAGUCAGUAUUGGUAGAAAAAACCUUGGAUCGAUAUGUUCAGGUUAAUGUAACUCGGCAUGCUGGGGCAUUUGGAGAAGUGAUGGUCAAGUACCGUGUCAUAUCCCUUCAUGAAGAAGCACUAAUUGAACCUGAGAAUGAGGUGGGAUUCCUCACAAUAAAGGAUGGUGCCAGCUUUGGAGUAAAAAGAGUGCCAAUAAGCAACCAGGCAUUUAUUUCACUGGGCUUGAAUUUUACUCUGGAACUGACUAAUGUAAGCCUGGUUAGGGGACGUGCCAAGGAUGUGCCUAAAAUAUUAGGAAUAGCAAAGUCUGCUUUGGUGCUUAUUCCUGAGGAAGCUGCCAAUUCACAGGUUGGCUUUGAAUCUGUGAUAUUACGACUUACAAACAUUGUAGCAGGGACAGGCCAUGCUGUCAUAAGCAGAAGAGGAGUUUAUGGUUCUGUAAUAGUUAACUGGAUUUCAGGAUAUCCACCGGACCUAGUCACUGACUCUGUUAAACUAGGCAACAUUACUCCUCCAUUUGGUACUGUUGUAUUUUCCUCUAGGGAGGAAAGUAAAGUGAUUUCAUUUCAGGCUACUCCAAACCUAAAUAAACCUGAGACAUUUGCCAUCACUUUAACAGCAGUGCACAGCCAUGUGUCUGGUGGGGCUCGCCUGAGAUCAGGAUUUACAAUAGCUGAAAUUGAGCCAAUGGGGAUCUUCCAGUUUGACCUUAACUCAAGAUCAGUUUCAGUUGAAGAAGAUAUCCAGGCAGUCAGAUUACAUGUUCAAAGAUUGUUUGGUUUUCAAAGUAAUCUCACUAAACUGACGUAUCAGACCAUUCCAGGAAGUGCCAAACCACUAGAAGACUUUAUACCCAUCUACAAUGGAGAGCUUAUGUUUUCAUAUUUUCAGACAAGUGCAGUGAUAGAAAUAUCAAUAAUUGAUGACACUGUGUCUGAAAUACAAGAAUUUUUUCUUGUAAAUUUGACUUCUGUGGAAAUUCUGGAUGUUCAGCCAAUGAACCUUGACUGGAGUCCCCGUCUGAAUCCAGUUUUCAGUGUUGCAACAGUUAAUAUCCUGGCUAAUGAUAUUCUUCAUGGAAUACUAAGUUUGGGGCCAGAGUUUAUUUAUGUUGAAGAAGAUACAAACAACAAUACCUCCAACACAGCAGUGCUUCAGAUCAAAAGGACCAAGGGAUUUACUGGUGAUAUUAAAAUAACUGUUAGAACUUUUGGGGGAGUGAGUGCACAGAAUGGAGUAGAUUUGUAUCCUUUUGGAAAUGUUUAUGGAAAAUCAAACUUCACAUGGGCAAUGGAAGGGGAAGAUUUUGAAGAACAGACAGUCUCUCUGACUUUGCUGGAUGGAGAAAGUGAAAGCCAGGUGUCCAUAAAAAUUUUUGAUGAUGAUGAGCCUGAAGGACAGGAAUUGUUUUAUGUUUUCCUCUCAAAUCCUGAAUAUGGAGUUCAGAUUGUGGAAGGAAAGGAUGAACAUGGAUUUGCUGCUUUUGCAACAGUAGUUAUUGAAGGAAGUGAUCUCCAGAAUGGCAUCCUGGGAUUCAUUCCAGAAGUGCAAAGUGGCCUGGUACUUGAUGAAGACUCGGAAAAGAGAGAGGUGCUGCUGACUGUCACACGGCAAUCAAACAGAGCUUUUGAAGAUGUGAAAGUCUUCUGGCGUGUGACCUUUAAUAAAACAGCUGUUGUCCUUCUGAAGGAUGGUGUGAACUUGGAGAAUGAACUUGUAUCUGUGCUGGGAGCCACGACCUGCAUAGCAGGUCAAACAAUGUGCAACAUCUCCAUUGAAAUAAAACCUGAUCAUGUACCGGAAUUUGAAACUUAUAUUUUUGUUGAGCUGUAUGCUGUAAGCACAGGAGCUGCUUUGAACAACAGUGCCAGAUUUGCUUUUAUAACUGUCCUGGAAAGUGAUGCUCCUCAUGGUUUAGUGUAUUUUGCUGUGGGAUCUCGAUUUGCUGUGGCUUAUAAGAAAACAGCUUUAAUCAGUCUGCAAGUUCUUAGAGAUUCUAGUACAUCAAUAACCACAAUGGUUAGCUACAGCAUGCAGGAGCUACAAAAACCUGAACCUAUUGGAAGGACCUUCAUAUCUCCAGCUGUGGCAGGACAAGAUUUUGCCAGAUCGGAAGGAUUACUGACUUUUGAACGUGGACAGAGAAAUGCAUUCCUGGAUGUGACCCUGACUCCAAAGACAGGAUCUUUAAACCCAUUUCCUAAACGUUUCCAGGUUGUACUUUCUAAUCCCACAGGCGGUGCCAGGGUAGAUGACAUGUAUGGUAUUUCCAACAUCACCAUUGUCUCAGAUUUGGACUCCUUGCCAGUUUGGGGACUGAUUGAUCAACUGCAUCAGCCUCUUGAUGACACCAUUUUACACAAAAUCCUUCAGAAUCUGAAUGUCAGAGUGGCUACAGAAACUACAGAAGAGCAACUUACUGCUGUGGUGCAUAUAAUAGAUAAGGUUACAGGUGUAGGUGAAAAACUGUUGCUAACUGGUAAAAGUAGAAGUCUUUUCUAUGAGAUACUCUGUGCUCUGGCUAGCCCAAAACGUGAGGAUACACAAGGAUAUAGCUUGCUUGCUGAGGUGACUGAGAAGUUUGCUUUUUCUCUGUUGACUGGGAUAAAGUGUGGAUCACCAGGAGAAAGAGGCAAAAAUAUCCUUGACAGCUGUCCAUAUAUUGCAAUAAUGGCUCACAACUGGUUUCCUCAGCAAAUCAAUGGACACAGAUUUAAUGGAAAAGAUGGGGAUUCUAUUCAAGUACCUGAGCAUUUACUAGAGGUCUCUCUAGUAUUAUCAUCUCCUCAAGAAGAGAACUGUGAAUCUGUACAGUUCACAGAAUACAGCAGUCAGCAGUGGUUUCUUACUAGAGAUAAAGAACUUGCCCUGAAGAACAAGGUUUUUUCAAUGAGCUUGCAGGGUCAGAGUUCACUACCUUUGAAAGAUAACAAUGAAGUCAUUUAUCGUAUUUAUGCUAAAGGAAAUCGGAUUGUUCCACAGAAGUCUCUAUGUCUCCUCUGGAAUCAAGCUGCUGAAAGCUGGCUGUCUGAUAGCGGAUUCUGCAAGGUGGUUGACGACAAAUCAGAUUAUGUGGAAUGCUCCUGUUCUCAUAUGUCCAUUUAUGCAGUUUAUGCCCAAACAGAUAACUUAUCUUCAUACAACGAGGCUUUUUUUUCUUCUGGAUUCAUCUGCAUUUCAGGUUUUACUUUGGCUAUCAUCUCCCACCUUUUCUGCACCAGGUGUGCCAUGUUUGCCGCUAAACUUCUCACUCAUAUGAUGGUUGCUUGUUUGGGUACUCAGGUUUCAUUUCUGGCCUCUGCUUACAUGAGCCAGCAUAUCUCAGAGGAAAGCUGCUUUGCCCUUGCAUCUGUUACCCAUUACCUUUACCUCUGCCAGUUCAGCUGGAUGCUUAUUCAGGCUGUUAAUUUCUGGUAUGUCCUUGUGAUGAAUGAUGAACACACGGAGACGCGCUAUCUGCUUUACUUCCUUUUGAGUUGGGGACUUCCAGCUUUUGUUGUGAUCCUUCUUCUAAUUAUCCUGAGAGGAAUCUACCAUCACAGCACAGCACAGAUUUAUGGCCUUGUCUACGGUGAUCUGUGUUUCAUUCCAAAUGCCUAUGCUGCUCUCUUCACCUCUGCUCUGGUGCCAUUAAUGUGCUUGGUGGUGGUUUUUGUGGUGUUCAUCCACGCCUACCAGGUGACUCCUCAAUGGAAGGCAUAUGACGAUAUCUUCAGAGGAAGAACAAAUGCAGCAGAGAUCCCCUUGGUCUUGUACCUCUUUGCUCUGAUUUCUGUCACCUGGCUGUGGGGAGGACUGCACAUGGCUUACCGGCACCUCUGGAUGUUAGUCUUCUUCAUCAUCUUCAACAGCCUGCAGGGUCUUUAUGUCUUUGUGGUAUAUUUUAUCCUGCACAACCAACUUUGCUGUCCUGUGAAAGCAAGUUACGCUGUAGACAUGAAUGGGCAUACAACUCCAGGAUCAGCGUUUUUCACACAUGGCAGCGGUCUGCCAGCUGUGGGAGGAGAGAUCAGCAAGUCCACACAGAACCUCAUCAGUGCUAUGGAAGAGGUGCCUGCGGACUGGGAGAGGGCAUCCUUGCAGCCUGGUAGUCAAACUAGUGCUGCCUUUAAGCAGAGUCCACAAAAUGGUAAUGUCUUCCACCCUUCUGGAGGAUUCAGUACCAGCUCAUUGGUUACUGAUGAGGAAUCACAAGAGUUCGAUGACCUAAUAUUUGCUUUAAAGACUGUUAGUCUGAUGCCCUUCAAGCACCAGUCCUGGCUCCAAGGAAGAAGUGGUCAUUGGCAAUUGGAAGACAAGGACCUCUUCUCUAAAUAGGCUAAAGUGUAUAGGCACCUAAGAUGCCUUUUUGCUGAGAUGCUCUUGCCUGUCAUUUGCUGUGCGAGAUUGCGACAGAGUCAUAUGUUAUUGUCAUUGAGGAUAAAGCCCAAUUUACCAGAAUUCCCUGAGGACUUCUACUCUGAUUAGGGCUGGGAAGUUAAAAAAGGAGCCAACAAGAAUAAAAGUAGAUGCAACCUGUCCCAAAGCAGCAAGCUACCCAUCAGCAUUGCUCUAAAGCAUGAUAGCUUUACUGAUUUCUGAGCUUCCAUCUAUAUCUUACAUCCUGUCUUCUCCCUUUCUGUGAUGCACAAAACCAAAACAAUUUAUUCCUUUGGAUGAGAUGGGAAAUCAAAAAACAGCAAAGGCUUUGAGGGAGGCCCAUAUUCCUCCAGGGGUGAUGGGUGACCCACCAUGAUAGUCUCCAGAUAUAUAUUAAGCAGAAUACUGCUACAUUCAUAAUUUAGUGUAUUUUUACUCUUAAUAGAGAAGAUCGUGAUAAAUAUUAUAUAAAUAUUCCAGUAUUUCUCUAAUACUAUGCAAAUAUUCUAAUAAUUCUCUGACAUGGAAAAUACCUGGAAAAAUCUACUGAGCAAGUUAAAAACCCCACACAAAUACAGCUAUUACAAUAGCAAUGCUAUAUAAAACGAUUCAUGAUUUUCAAUCUACUACAGCUAGGGCUCCAAAGUCAGCAUUUUAUAAACCUUGGUGACACCACUGUAGGUGCCUGGUUUAAGAAUAAAGCAUCUCAUGUGGCCAUCCUGAACCAGAGGAAACAUUUGAAAUUCCAGUUCUGAAGGGUGUUCAGUGCAGCAUCCUGGAGACUGUCUAUUACAGGGCAGAUAGAUUGUAGGUGGCAAAUCCCUGCCUUAUCAGCCUAUGUAAUUUCUGUUUUGAAGGGCUCACUUCACAAAAAAAAAAAAAAAAAAAAAAAAAAAAAAAAAAAAAAAAAAAAAAAAGGAAGGAAAGGUAGCUAGUUUGCAUAUUCAUUCAGUUUCUUAUCUGUGGUUGUCACACAUAUGUUCAGCCUGAUGGCUGUUGAACAUGACUGCCUAAUGUCCAGGAAGCAUUUUUAGUUGAAUCUGAACUUUAUUUAUAGAAGUCUGGAUGUCUGUUGGCGUUAUUUCUGUGAAAUCAAAACCCUGAAAGAAUAAUUAAAUUUGGUUUAUGUAGCUUAUUCAUAUGCAUCCCACACAUAUAAUAAAAUCAUGAUUGAUUAAGCAAGAUAUAAGUGCUUGAAAGAUAAAAAGUUUCCCCAGAGAUAUGAGUACAGUAAUUACAAAACAAACUCUGUCUCCCUUAAAAUGUUUUAGUGAAAGUCUGAGCUGUCUCUGAGCAAGCAGGUAACAGCUGGUGUUCCGGGGCACCUAGAGAUGCACUGGUGUAGCUCUUCACCAGUAGGUGUCAGUGGAGGGACCUCUGUGGGUUUAAAGCCUGAGCUGUGACUUUUCAGUUUCUAGCUAGUCCUUGCAUACAAAAAGAAAAGGAUGAAAGGCUUCAUUUUCCUGCGUAUUUUUCUUAAAGUAGUUCUUUCACAAACUGGGGAAAAGUAAUACUCCCUGCUACAUACCUGCCACCUAACUGCAGCAGCAUCUCCAAAUGAGUGCAUGCUUUUUGGGAUCUGAUUGAGUUUAAAUUCCACUCUAAUCUGAGAACCCAAUGGACCAAUGAACUCUGUGAAACUCCAUCAUGUAAACAGUCAUACCCUUUCCAGCCUGGUGACUGUUUGGUAAGCUGGUGUCCUGGUUACAUUUCAGUUCUUAUUCCUAAAAAGGAUCAGCUCUAACGUAGUUUGUCUUUGCACCAUCAGCAGAACAAGGCCCUUGUAAACCUGAAGCACCCAGUUUCAGUCUCUGACUUACCAAGAUAGAGAACCUCUGUAACAAAAAAUAUUUUCUCUUACUUUGCACAGAGCACAAACAAAGCUUACACGUAGAUGACAUUUAAGAAUAUACAUAGUGUAAUACAUUUAGACCAAUACCUGAUCUUUUUAUAGAGACCAGCAAAAGACUCUUUAAGAAACCCCAUGCUAAAUAGUUGCCACUUCACCAGUAUAGCCACUAGUAAGACAAAUAUCUUUCAAACCCCAACAAUCUGUGUUCACCUUGAAAUCUGAGCCCAGGGUGAUCAUAUUUAUGAUUUCAAAUGGUUUUAAACAAUGGGGGUUUUGCAGUUUUUGAAAUCUUUACGCUUUUCAGGUUGACUAAAUGUCUUGAAUGAAUUCCACUGUUAUUGAUGCUAUAUAAUGUGUUCUUUCUUCAUUCAAAGUAUUUUAUGUACUUCAUGGUUUUUACUUGUUCUUCCAUCCCCAUGUAGUAAAUACAACAGUCUGAUUCAUCUUCUCUAUUACAGUCACACUUCCUUUCUAAAACAAUCAAAUAUCAAACAAUCAAAAUAACUUGUUUAAACAAUUGCUGUUUUUCCCAGGACCUUGAAGCACCUUUUGGAUAUUAGGAUCUGGCUCAAUGAAAAGGUUAAAUGUGCAUACAAAUUUAAAUCAACUUCAAUAAAUUUAUAAACAAUACUUUAAUGAUUCA
RNA transcript from Corvus hawaiiensis (hawaiian crow), 21350 nucleotides. It is a transcript of the gene named adhesion G protein-coupled receptor V1, with no coding region annotated. The transcript is spliced from 93 exons. Lineage: Eukaryota; Metazoa; Chordata; Aves; Passeriformes; Corvidae. The record is from RefSeq and is a predicted model, not a curated record.